CUAUUUUUUAAAAAAAAAAACGUCGUUUCCUUAUUUUUCCUCUCAAAACUCUUUUCCUCUCUAGGCACGGGGCCGUUGUUCGUUUGCCACAGCCAUUGGUCAUCGGCAACGGCGACUGCCGUCUUCAGUGGCCGGAAAACCCAAAAGAGGUUCUUUUUGAGUCGUUUCUUUAAGAGAACGCGAUUUUGGGGUCCAAACAUGCAAAAGGGUCACCGUCCGGCCAAAACCCCAAGGGACCUUUCGGUUUCUCCUCCUCUUUGACAUGGUUUCAGGCGAAUCCCUAGCGAUUCGAUCACCUUUUAUACCAGCGAGGAUCACCAACUACAGUGGCUCAAGUAUCGACGCGGUCAACAGAGGGGAGAGAAGGGGCUCCCUUUGCCAUUUUGGUACAACGGCGGUGGACACGUUAGGCCUCAGGAUGAGGAGCCUCGGGCGGUACGUAUGCGAAGGGG
Long non-coding RNA from Gossypium arboreum, 452 nucleotides. RefSeq lists it as uncharacterized. The record is from RefSeq and is a predicted model, not a curated record. The transcript is spliced from 2 exons. NCBI's taxonomy places the organism in Eukaryota, Viridiplantae, Streptophyta, Magnoliopsida, Malvales, Malvaceae.